CCUACGGGCGGCAGCAGUGAGGAAUAUUGGUCAUUGGGCGCGAGCCUGAACCAGCCAAGUAGCGUGAAGGAUGACUGCCCUACGGGUUGUAAACUUCUUUUAUAAAGGAAUAAAGUGAGGCACGUGUGCCUUUUUGUAUGUACUUUAUGAAUAAGGAUCGGCUAACUCCGUGCCAGCAGCCGCGGUAAUACGGAGGAUCCGAGCGUUAUCCGGAUUUAUUGGGUUUAAAGGGAGCGUAGAUGGGUUGUUAAGUCAGUUGUUAAAGUUUGCGGCUCAACCGUAAAAUUGCAGUUGAUACUGGCAGUCUUGAGUACAGUUGAGGUAGGCGGAAUUCGUGGUGUAGCGGUGAAAUGCUUAGAUAUCACGAAGAACUCCGAUUGCGAAGGCAGCAUACUAACCUGCCACUGACAUUGAUGCUCGAAAGUGUGGGUAUCGAACAGGAUUAGAUACCCGUGUAGUC
Molecule: ribosomal RNA, 460 nt
Filed under: uncultured bacterium
Lineage: Bacteria
Description: partial 16S ribosomal RNA
Rfam family: Bacterial small subunit ribosomal RNA
Source: RNAcentral